Podarcis lilfordi (Lilford's wall lizard) is the source of this 126-nucleotide non-coding RNA. NCBI's taxonomy places the organism in Eukaryota, Metazoa, Chordata, Lepidosauria, Squamata, Lacertidae. The record is from the annotation of a GenBank genome assembly.
GACCAACUAAGUUAGUUCUUGGUAUGAGCUUUCGUGUGCAAGCACACUUCUUCAGAUACACUGAAACAGAAGUUGCCAGAAGUGUGCUUGCACACGAAAGCUCAUACCAAGAACUAACUUAGUUGG